RNAcentral lists this microRNA (22 nucleotides) under Homo sapiens (human). RNAcentral describes it as "hsa-miR-2115-5p". The record is from miRBase by way of RNAcentral. Lineage: Eukaryota; Metazoa; Chordata; Mammalia; Primates; Hominidae.
AGCUUCCAUGACUCCUGAUGGA